UUGAAGGAAACCCAUCCCUUGCACUUUCACUAGCAACUCAAAUAUCCUUUAAAUUACUCUCUCGUUCCAGCCUAUCCAUGAAGUUUCAAGUAUACAACAAGAGACCACCAUUCAAAGAACUCUUCCCCUACACAGACAUCACAAGGCUUUGUGACCAGGGGGAUUAGCGCUGCUUUCCCAAGACAGGUUUUUAUGUGUAUGAUCUUCAGGCUUUGCCUAUCCAGGUUGAGCAGCUGAUGGAAUGGAAUGGUGUUGAGCGGGUGUUCCUUUGAUCGUUUCAAGAAAUGUAACCUUGAGUAUACAUCUUCAUAUGUAUAUCUCACACGUUUUCCGCUGCAAAAUACUUUGAUUAGGAUAGCUCUAUGUUAUGAAGUUGGGAUACGUGUUAUUGGGUAGCCCACCUUAAUCAGUUCUCAUUUAUGUGUAUGUUUUAUAAGUAUCCAAAUAAUCAUAUAUGAUCCUAGCAUUUUAUCUA
Salvia miltiorrhiza (redroot sage) is the source of this 475-nucleotide long non-coding RNA. RefSeq lists it as uncharacterized. The record is from RefSeq and is a predicted model, not a curated record. Lineage: Eukaryota; Viridiplantae; Streptophyta; Magnoliopsida; Lamiales; Lamiaceae. The transcript has 3 exons.